AGAGCGAACGCUGGCGGCAUGCUUAACACAUGCAAGUCGCACGGGCAGCAAUGUCAGUGGCGGACGGGUGAGUAACGCGUAGGUAUCUAUCCUUGGGUGGGGGACAACUGUGGGAAACUACAGCUAAUACCGCAUAACAACUGAGGUUCAAAGGCGCAAGUCGCCUGAGGAGGAGCCUGCGUACGAUUAGCUAGUUGGUGGGGUAAAGGCCUACCAAGGCGACGAUCGUUAGCUGGUCUGAGAGGAUGAUCAGCCACAUUGGGACUGAGACACGGCCCAAACUCCUACGGGAGGCAGCAGUGGGGAAUAUUGGACAAUGGGCGAAAGCCUGAUCCAGCAAUGCCGCGUGUGUGAAGAAGGUCUUCGGAUUGUAAAGCACUUUCGACGGGACGAUGAUGACGGUACCCGUAGAAGAAGCCCGGCUAACUUCGUGCCAGCAGCCGC
This 444-nucleotide ribosomal RNA is filed under the name uncultured bacterium. RNAcentral's name for it is "SSU rRNA". It matches the Rfam family "Bacterial small subunit ribosomal RNA", at positions 26 to 518 of the family's 1533-position model. The record is from RNAcentral.